This 752-nucleotide ribosomal RNA is filed under the name uncultured bacterium. RNAcentral's name for it is "bacterial SSU rRNA". It matches the Rfam family "Bacterial small subunit ribosomal RNA", at positions 742 to 1504 of the family's 1533-position model. The record is from RNAcentral.
GACGCUGAGGAACGAAAGCAUGGGUAGCGAAGAGGGAUUAGAUACCCUCGUAGUCCAUGCCGUAAACGAUGUGUGUUAGACGUUGGAAAUUUAUUUUCAGUGUCGCAGCGAAAGCGUUAAACACACCGCCUGGGGAGUACGACCGCAAGGUUAAAACUCAAAUGAAUUGACGGGGACCCGCACAAGUAGUGGAGCAUGUGGUUUAAUUCGAAGAUACGCGCAGAACCUUACCAACACUUGACAUGUUCGUCGCGACUUUAAGAGAUUAAAGUUUUCGGUUCGGCCGGACGAAACACAGGUGCUGCAUGGCUGUCGUCAGCUCGUGUCGUGAGAUGUUGGGUUAAGUCCCGCAACGAGCGCAACCCUCACUUUUAGUUGCCAUCAUUAAGUUGGGCACUCUGAAAGAACUGCCAGUGAUAAGCUGGAGGAAGGUGGGGAUGACGUCAAGUCCUCAUGGCCCUUACGUGUUGGGCUACACACGUGCUACAAUGGCAUUUACAAUAGGAAGCAAGAUGGCGACGUCAAGCAAAUCCUAAAAAGAUGCCUCAGUUCGGAUUGUACUCUGCAACUCGAGUACAUGAAGCUGGAAUUACUAGUAAUCGCGGAUCAGCGCGCCGCGGUGAAUACGUUCCCGGGUCUUGUACACACCGCCCGUCACACCAUGGGAGUUGGUUCUACCUUAAGGCAAGGUUUAAAACCCUUGACCACGGUAUAGUCAGCGACUGGGGUGAAGUCGUAACAAGGUAGCCGUA